GUUCUUGUAGUUAAAUUUCAAUAACAGUGGCGUUUCAGGUCACAGUUCCUGGAGAAGGGCCGGGCGAGAAUU
Molecule: transfer RNA, 72 nt
Filed under: Heteralocha acutirostris (huia)
Lineage: Eukaryota; Metazoa; Chordata; Aves; Passeriformes; Callaeidae
Description: tRNA-Glu
Source: RNAcentral